CUUCGCUACCAAGUUUCGCAUUCCCCUCGGCGGCUCGGCCCGCCGCUCUGACUAGCCGGCGGCGCCGCAGAGACACCUCCAGCAGAUGCCACCGCAGAGACACCUCCAGCAGGCGCCGCUUGGACACGGUGAACUCAUCCUCCUCACGGUUCGCCGCUGCACUCUCCGACCAGGCCCUCACGCCCAGGGCGUCAGGGUGCAAGGAGGAGCAUGUGGCUGACCCUGCAUCUGCACAGACGCUGCAAGAACAGGAUGUCUUGCGCUUAAAGGAGUUGCUCGAACUACAAUAUCGAUUGAAUCAUACGAGCAAUUGUCCAUCACUGCCACUUCCUCGCCCUCUCCGCUGGACACCAUUGAGAUCUCACCAUGAUCAUGGCGCUGCCUUUCCUCGUCAUUCAUUUGGGCUCUGCAAGAGCUUGAUUGGAUCAUUGGGAUUCACAUUUCACACAAUUGAAACAUCUUCGAGAUCAUAGAGGAUAUUUGUGCUCAUAUCCUCAUUUGAGUGGACCAUUUCAAAACUUAGAUGAAGCUUACAGUGGUAAUAAUUGCUAUCGUCUUGACCAAUUGAGAUCCAACAAUGCCACAAAAGAUAAUCAAAUGAAGCAGUUAAAAGGCGAAUGGCUCUAAAUCUAUAUUUAGAUGUUUAUUGCAGUUUGAAGCUGAGAUUUCUGUACCUGGUAUUGGCAUGUUCUUCUGCGUUUACCGGUAAGCUGUAGUUCCAACCCCAACAAGGCUAGAGAAGCGAGGAUUGCAGAGUUGUGUCCUGCUUCCUCGGGUUGAGAAGCUGGAGAUGGUGGCUCAGGACGCAGCCAACUCGACUUGUACUCUGCUGUCACCUUCCCUGAUCAAGUGCUCAUCCCUAGGGCGUAGGGAAACAUCUGCAAAAGGCGAGACCUUUGCUAGUGGAGGUUUUGUUGAUUGACUGAAGUGGACAAGCUCAGUUGAUGUCUCUCCAGCUUCCAGGUUUUCUUGAUACUCCCUUUACUGGAAUGCAUGUUUUGAAAUCUGGGUGCAUUAAUUGGUUCACACAUUACAGUUUCGUUUCUGAUCCUGUUUAUCCUACUAUUACAUUAGCUUUUGGCAGCUGCUAGGAUGUUUAGUGCUGACAUAAUCCAUGCUUCUAAGUUUGUUGCUGAGUAUUUCAAUUUAGGGAGCUGAUAAUUAUAUCUCUGCCUAUGACUUUGAUAUCCAUGUAAAUUCAGUUACCUUCUGCUAACUAGUAAUGCUACAGGUCAUUCUCAGCCGACGUCCGCAUUGCCCAUAUUUGUUGAGUGUCUGUUCGUUUUGUUGGGUUAGCACUGCAUCUUGUUGGUCAACUUUUGGCAAGAUCCUGGUGAUGUAAUCGUUGAAGAGGCUGAAGCAUUCGAUGCAGUGGGCAGUGGCGUAGCCAGCGGGUAGGCCGGGUGGGCCAUGGCACAAUCAGAAAUUUCAGGAUUUACUUUUUACCCCCAUAUUAUUUGACUAUUUUGUUCCAUAUAAACAUCCAAUCGGCCCAUGAUCUGACAUGAGCAGCCCAGAAACAUCCAGCCGGCUCGGCACGAGAGGAGAGCGAGACCAGAGCCUCAGGCCUACCUCGCUCACACGCAUGCCACCGCUCCCUGCCUGCUGCCUCUGUGCUUCCCUGCCGGUUCCUCCUCCAGCCUCGUGCCCGCCGGCCGCCGCCCUCUUGCAGCUUGACUUCGGCCAGGCUCCAGCCUCCGCCGACCGCUGCCCUACUGCAGCUUGACUUCUUGCCCAGGCUCCAGGCUCCAGCCUCCCGCCGCUCGAUUCCUCCAGCCCCGGGCUCCAACCUUCUUCGUCCGCCACCCUCCGCUCGACUCCAGCCCCGGGCUCCAACCUUCUUCGUCCGCCGCCCUCCGCUCGACUCCAGCCCCGGGCUCCAACCUUCUUCGUCCGCCGCCCUCCGCUCGACUCCAGCCCCUAGGCUCGGUAGGAAUUAAUCAAUGCGGCCAUGCGAGCAACAUCAAUUAGCUCAGGAGAUUUUGUUUGACCAUCAUCUGUAUAGAAUUGUCUGGUGCCAAUUAGUUGUUGGUUUUGUUUGACCAUGAGUCUAUUGAUGUGCUUAACUAUUGUCUGUCUAUAUGAUGCUUAUUUCGGUUGUAUUUUCUGUUAUAAAUAGCAUUGUGAGUUUCUA
This is a long non-coding RNA of Triticum dicoccoides, 2134 nucleotides long. RefSeq lists it as uncharacterized. The transcript is spliced from 5 exons. Lineage: Eukaryota; Viridiplantae; Streptophyta; Magnoliopsida; Poales; Poaceae. The record is from RefSeq and is a predicted model, not a curated record.